CCUACGGGAGGCAGCAGUGGGGAAUAUUGGGCAAUGGAGGAAACUCUGACCCAGCGACGCCGCGUGCGGGAUGAAGGCCUUCGGGUUGUAAACCGCUUUCAGCAGGGAAGAAGCGAAAGUGACGGUACCUGCAGAAGAAGCACCGGCUAACUAUGCGCCAGCAGCCGCGGUAAUACAUAGGGUGCAAGCGUUGUCCGGAAUUAUUGGGCGUAAAGAGCUCGUAGGUGGUUCGUCACGUCGGAUGUGAAAAUCUGGGGCUUAACCCCAGACCUGCAUUCGAUACGGGCGAGCUUGAGUAUGGUAGGGGAGUCUGGAAUUCCUGGUGUAGCGGUGGAAUGCGCAGAUAUCAGGAGGAACACCAAUGGCGAAGGCAGGACUCUGGGCCAUUACUGACACUGAGGAGCGAAAGCGUGGGGAGCGAACAGGAUUAGAUACCCUGGUAGUCCACGCCGUAAACGGUGGGCACUAGUUGUGGGGACCUUCCACGGUCUCUGCGACGCAGCUAACGCAUUAAGUGCCCCGCCUGGGGAGUACGAUCGCAAGNUUAAAACUCAAAGGAAUUGACGG
RNAcentral lists this ribosomal RNA (567 nucleotides) under uncultured bacterium. RNAcentral describes it as "bacterial SSU rRNA". It matches the Rfam family "Bacterial small subunit ribosomal RNA", at positions 338 to 916 of the family's 1533-position model. The record is from RNAcentral.